AGCAGCCGCGGUAAUUCCAGCUCNUAUAGCGUAUAUUAAAGUUGUUGCAGUUAAAAAGCUCGUAGUUGAAUUUCGGGAUCAAUAUGUCGGUCGUGCCUUCGGUACGUACUGGUAUCAUUGGUCUCUCCUUUCUGACGAACCAUGAUGUCAUUAAUUUGGUGUUAUGGGGAGUUAGGACUGUUACUUUGAAAAAAUUAGAGUGUUUAAAGCAGGCUUUAGCUUGAAUACAUUAGCAUGGAAUAAUGAAAUAGGACGUUCGAACCUAUUCUGUUGGUUUCUAGGAUCAACGUAAUGAUUAAUAGGGAUAGUUGGGGGCAUUAGUAUUCAAUUGUCAGAGGUGAAAUUCUUGGAGUUAUUGAAGACUAACUACUGCGAAAGCAUUUGCCAAGGAUGUUUUCAUUAAUCAAGAACGAAAGUUAGGGGAUCGAAGACGAUCAGAUACCGUCGUAGUCUUAACCAUAAACUAUGCCGACUAGGGAUCGGAUGAUGUUAAUUUUUUAAUGACUCA
Molecule: ribosomal RNA, 508 nt
Filed under: uncultured Glomeromycotina
Lineage: Eukaryota; Fungi; Glomeromycota
Description: SSU rRNA
Rfam family: Eukaryotic small subunit ribosomal RNA
Source: RNAcentral